Molecule: ribosomal RNA, 491 nt
Filed under: uncultured bacterium
Lineage: Bacteria
Description: partial 16S ribosomal RNA
Rfam family: Bacterial small subunit ribosomal RNA
Source: RNAcentral
AGUGAACGCUGGCGGUAGGCCUAACACAUGCAAGUCGAACGGCAGCACAGUAAGAGCUUGCUCUUACGGGUGGCGAGUGGCGGACGGGUGAGGAAUACAUCGGACUCUACUUUUUCGUGGGGAUACCGUAGGGAAACUUACGCUAAUACCGCAUACGACUUACGGGUGAAAGCAGGGGAUCUUCGGACCUUGCGCGAUUGAAUGAGCCGAUGUCGGAUUAGCUAGUUGGCGGGGUAAAGGCCCACCAAGGCGACGAUCCGUAGCUGGUCUGAGAGGAGGAUCAGCCACACUGGAACUGGGACACGGUCCAGACUCCUACGGGAGGCAGCAGUGGGGAAUAUUGGACAAUGGGCGCAAGCCUGAUCCAGCCAUACCGCGUGGGUGAAGAAGGCCUUCGGGUUGUAAAGCCCUUUUGUUGGGAAAGAAAAGCAGCAGGUUAAUACCCCGCUGUUCUGACGGUACCCAAAGAAUAAGCACCGGCUAACUUCGUG